AGAUUGAACGCUGGCGGCGUGCUUAACACAUGCAAGUCGAGCGGUAACGCGGGAGCAAUCCUGGCGACGAGCGGCGAACGGGUGAGUAAUGCUUGGGAAUCUGCCCAUUAGUGGGGAACAACCAGCCGAAAGGUUGGCUAAUACCGCAUACGCCCUACGGGGGAAAGCGGGGGAUCGAAAGACCUCGCGCUAAUGGAUGAGCCCAAGUCGGAUUAGCUUGUUGGUAGGGUAACGGCCUACCAAGGCGACAAUCCGUAGCUGGUCUGAGAGGACGACCAGCCACACUGGGACUGAGACACGGCCCAGACUCCUACGGGAGGCAGCAGUGGGGAAUAUUGCACAAUGGGCGCAAGCCUGAUGCAGCAACGCCGCGUGAGGGACGACGGCCUUCGGUUGUAACCUCUUUAGUAGGAAGAAGCGAUGUGCUUGUCACAUCAUGACGGUACCUGCAGAAAAGCACCGGCUAACUACGUGCCAGCAGCCGCGGUAAUCUA
This 494-nucleotide ribosomal RNA is filed under the name uncultured bacterium. RNAcentral describes it as "SSU rRNA". It matches the Rfam family "Bacterial small subunit ribosomal RNA", at positions 26 to 527 of the family's 1533-position model. The record is from RNAcentral.